CCGACGGUGAGGGGUGAAAGCUGGGGGAGCAAACCGGAUUAGAUACCCGGGUAGUCCCAGCUGUAAACGAUGCGCGUUAGGUGUAUCAGUGACCACGAGUCACUGAGGUGCCGAAGAGAAAUCGUGAAACGUGCCGCCUGGGAAGUACGGUCGCAAGGCUGAAACUUAAAGGAAUUGGCGGGGGAGCACCACAACAGGUGGAGCCUGCGGUUUAAUCGGACUCAACGCCGGAAAUCUCACCAGAUAAGACAGCUGAAUGAUAGUCGGGCUGAAGACUCUACUUGACUAGCUGAGAGGAGGUGCAUGGCCGUCGUCAGUUCGCACUGUGAAGCAUCCUGUUAAGUCAGGCAACGAGCGAGACCCACGCCAACAGUUGCU
Molecule: ribosomal RNA, 378 nt
Filed under: uncultured archaeon
Lineage: Archaea
Description: bacterial SSU rRNA
Rfam family: Archaeal small subunit ribosomal RNA
Source: RNAcentral